UACGAAGGGGGCUAGCGUUGCUCGGAAUCACUGGGCGUAAAGCGCGCGUAGGCGGCUAUGCAAGUCGAGUGUGAAAUCCCCGGGCUCAACCUGGGAACUGCAUUCGAGACUGCAUUGCUUGAGUAUGGGAGAGGGAGGCGGAAUUUCAGGUGUAGCGGUGAAAUGCGUAGAUAUCUGAAGGAACAUCAGUGGCGAAAGCGGCCUCCUGGACCAAUACUGACGCUCAUGUGCGAAAGCGUGGGGAGCAAACAGG
Molecule: ribosomal RNA, 253 nt
Filed under: uncultured bacterium
Lineage: Bacteria
Description: partial 16S ribosomal RNA
Rfam family: Bacterial small subunit ribosomal RNA
Source: RNAcentral